This 430-nucleotide ribosomal RNA is filed under the name bacterium enrichment culture clone ALO1_GLFRUDD03G0O4R. Its description in RNAcentral is "bacterial SSU rRNA". It matches the Rfam family "Bacterial small subunit ribosomal RNA", at positions 9 to 441 of the family's 1533-position model. The record is from RNAcentral.
GAGUUUGAUCGUGGCUCAGAUUGAACGCUGGCGGCAUGCCUUACACAUGCAAGUCGAACGGCAGCACGGGAGCUUGCUCCUGGUGGCGAGUGGCGAACGGGUGAGUAAUGCAUCGGAACGUAUCCUGGAGUGGGGGAUAACGUAGCGAAAGUUACGCUAAUACCGCAUAUUCUGUGAGCAGGAAAGCGGGGGACCUUCGGGCCUCGCGCUCUUGGAGCGGCCGAUGUCGGAUUAGCUAGUUGGUGAGGUAAAGGCUCACCAAGGCGACGAUCCGUAGCAGGUCUGAGAGGAUGAUCUGCCACACUGGAACUGAGACACGGUCCAGACUCCUACGGGAGGCAGCAGUGGGGAAUUUUGGACAAUGGGGGCAACCCUGAUCCAGCCAUGCCGCGUGAGUGAAGAAGGCCUCGGUUCGUAAGUACGUCUUUCG